This 484-nucleotide ribosomal RNA is filed under the name uncultured bacterium. RNAcentral's name for it is "partial 16S ribosomal RNA". It matches the Rfam family "Bacterial small subunit ribosomal RNA", at positions 30 to 507 of the family's 1533-position model. The record is from RNAcentral.
AUUGAACGCUGGCGGCAGGCCUAACACAUGCAAGUCGAGCGGAUGAAGGGAGCUUGCUCCUGGAUUCAGCGGCGGACGGGUGAGUAAUGCCUAGGAAUCUGCCUGGUAGUGGGGGAUAACGUCCGGAAACGGGCGCUAAUACCGCAUACGUCCUGAGGGAGAAAGUGGGGGAUCUUCGGACCUCACGCUAUCAGAUGAGCCUAGGUCGGAUUAGCUAGUUGGUGGGGUAAAGGCCUACCAAGGCGACGAUCCGUAACUGGUCUGAGAGGAUGAUCAGUCACACUGGAACUGAGACACGGUCCAGACUCCUACGGGAGGCAGCAGUGGGGAAUAUUGGACAAAGGGCGAAAGCCUUAUCCAGCCAUGCCGCGUGUGUGAAGAAGGUCUUCGGAUUGUAAAGCACUUUAAGUUGGGAGGAAGGGCAGUAAGUUAAUACCUUGCUGUUUUGACGUUACCAACAGAAUAAGCACCGGCUAACUUCGUG